CCCUCCCCUCCGCCGUCUGCUUCUAUUUCACGGACGCCGAUGACCCGCCACCACCGCCGCGGGAAGCCCCGGUGACUCGGUGAGUAAUGAACGCCCUCUUUCCUGGGAUGCGCCGCUCCCGGAUCUCGGACUGCAGGAUUGCGGUUUGGGCUGCUUUGAAUUUGGGAUUUGACGGCCAUGACUUAUCGCAGAUGAGAUCGCCAAACUGUUCCCCAACUUGUACGGCCAGCCUUGGGCCAAGCCGGUUGCAACGAAGGUGCUCAAGAUCGGCGUCGUGCUUUCUGGUGACUAGGUUCUAGGGGGGCACAAUGUGAUCUGCGACAUCUUUGAUAAGUGCGAGUGAUC
Molecule: long non-coding RNA, 345 nt
Filed under: Triticum aestivum (bread wheat)
Lineage: Eukaryota; Viridiplantae; Streptophyta; Magnoliopsida; Poales; Poaceae
Description: long non-coding RNA (TAES_LNC007376)
Source: RNAcentral